GGAGAGGUGCCGGAGUGGCUGAACGGGACGGUUUGCUAAACCGUUGAAGGGGAUUAAACCCCUUCCGAGGGUUCGAAUCCCUCCCUCUCCGCCA
Molecule: transfer RNA, 94 nt
Filed under: Terriglobia bacterium
Lineage: Bacteria; Pseudomonadati; Acidobacteriota; Terriglobia
Description: tRNA-Ser
Rfam family: tRNA
About the family: Transfer RNA (tRNA) molecules are approximately 80 nucleotides in length. Their secondary structure includes four short double-helical elements and three loops (D, anti-codon, and T loops).
Source: RNAcentral